ACAACUGUAGCGUAUUGGUAGCGCGACGGGUAUUUGGCAUCUGUAGGAGUUGGUUCGAUUCCAACCAGUUGUU
This is a non-coding RNA of Aphelenchus avenae, 73 nucleotides long. Lineage: Eukaryota; Metazoa; Nematoda; Chromadorea; Rhabditida; Aphelenchidae. The record is from the annotation of a GenBank genome assembly.